GUGGGGAAUUUUGGACAAUGGGCGCAAGCCUGAUCCAGCAAUGCCGCGUGCAGGAAGAAGGCCUUCGGGUUGUAAACUGCUUUUGUACGGAACGAAACGGUCCGGGUUAAUACCCUGGGCUAAUGACGGUACCGUAAGAAUAAGCACCGGCUAACUACGUGCCAGCAGCCGCGGUAAUACGUAGGGUGCAAGCGUUAAUCGGAAUUACUGGGCGUAAAGCGUGCGCAGGCGGUUUUGUAAGACAGGCGUGAAAUCCCCGGGCUCAACCUGGGAAUUGCGAUUGUGACUGCAAGGCUGGAGUGCGGCAGAGGGGGAUGGAAUUCCGCGUGUAGCAGUGAAAUGCGUAGAUAUGCGGAGGAACACCGAUGGCGAAGGCAAUCCCCUGGGCCUGCACUGACGCUCAUGCACGAAAGCGUGGGGAGCAAACAGGAUUAGAAACCCGGGUAGUCC
Molecule: ribosomal RNA, 450 nt
Filed under: uncultured bacterium
Lineage: Bacteria
Description: partial 16S ribosomal RNA
Rfam family: Bacterial small subunit ribosomal RNA
Source: RNAcentral